Long non-coding RNA from Leguminivora glycinivorella, 1086 nucleotides. RefSeq lists it as uncharacterized. NCBI's taxonomy places the organism in Eukaryota, Metazoa, Arthropoda, Insecta, Lepidoptera, Tortricidae. The transcript has 2 exons. The record is from RefSeq and is a predicted model, not a curated record.
UGAUUGAAUAUUUAUACCACAAUAUUCAACACUUCAAACGAAACAACCAAAGAGUGACACGAUAUGGCGUAAGCGAGGGCGUUAACUCUGGCGGCAAGGUGAAAGCACAAAAAAAAAAAACCCGGACCUUGCGUCCAGAGAAAACCUCCACCUCAACUUACCCAAUAACAAUCUCUAAAUCCUUGAAUACGCCACAAAACCAAAUCCAAGUUUUCACAAAAACAAACGCCCUUAAAUGAAUCUGCACGUUUCGAAACGUUUAAGUUUAAAACUGGCGCUAAAACCACGUCGUAACUCAAAAUAAAUCCAAACAUAAAACAGAAAUACCAACAUCACAAAACGAGCGUUUAUUUAACCGCUCAAGUUACGACUCAAACUUGGAACAAAAAACACGCAUCCGAACGUACCCAUCGUUGAACUUAUUUUGUCUGUGGUCUGUGCCUUUAAAAAAAACUAAAUGUCAACAAAAUAUUCAUCGUUACCUACAAAAUUCUAAUAUCUGCUGCUUUUAUUGCUACAAAUUAAUAAAACAACACUUAAUUCAACUACAAAAUCAUGGAAAACUAACAUAAGUGUGAUAAACGUUCGAUAAUCUAAAGGAAUGACUAAAAUUUAUUCAGAAAAUGCUAAUUGGAAUGCAAAUAAUUCUACUACUAACAGCAGAUUAUUAGAAACUGUCUACCUCUUAAGAAAUAUACACCACUAAAGCAACUAGGCACCUAGCAACAGCUACAACUAGACCACAGACUACAAAAGAAAACCAAAACAUGAACAUCAGAGGAACUCGGGUACUGAUAAUGUGCUGAAAAGCACAACUCCCAACGGAAACCUUCCAUUUGCAUGGAGAACAACACAAUCCACUUCGCCGGCAACCAACAACAAUGCAGCUGCCGGACACUCAAAAAUUCAAGCCGUUCAUGCACUUCCAACCAUUUCCGGUGUCGUCCCCGACUGAAUUCACCUGUAUAAGUUCAACGGGCACAAAAGUGAAAUUGCCACUGAAGACGCCAUUGUAUAAGUUCAAAACUCAAAAUAUUAAGUAUGUUGGCAACUGACUUACAAUAAAUAUAUAUUCUUACAAUGAUA